CAAAGAAAGACAAUCUUGGCUUGUUUGUCUCUCUACCCCCUGACUGCUGCUGUGUCUCAGGCCUGAGGACCUGCCAGUGGCCCUGCAGAGUCUACUGUCAGUAUCUGCCAUUGCUGAAUCCAGACAGAAGCCAGUUGACCCAGGAGCCUCAAACACACCUGUGGGAGACAGCUCCUUUGCAACUUCCUGCAUUGCAGAACAGAGCAGGGAAAAGGUCAGGAGGUCAUGGACCAGCAGAAUCCAGCUUCAAAACACAAGCCCUCCACCCAACACCAGCAGAAGUGACUGCAGAAGGCAAUCUUGAAACACUCCCCUAGCCCGGUACAGAGGCAUGGCUGAACUCUGAGAACACUUCUGGUCUACAGUCUGUAUAUCGAAAUUCCCAAGGAAACUACCUUGUCCCCAUGAUGACAGGGCUUUGACUGAACACUGAACCCUGCACGACAUACUUCCGGUGUGUAAUUAUGACACUGUCAGUGCAUCUGUGAGUCUGUAUCUGGCCACAGAUAAAUGGCUUCCUUUUCCCCACACUGCCAACUCAUAUUUAGGUAGUGAUUCUGCGGGAGAAAUUAAUGACGGCUCAUCAGUUUCCACGCACCCAUUGCCACAGCCUGAUGGGUAAUGUUCACCCUGGUUUACUUGUUUUAUAAUUUGAUUUCCUACCAGAGAUAAAUAGUGCUGUUUUUCUGAGGGCAUUGCUUGUAAGAAUUGAAAUCAACUGAAGCAUUGACUCCGAAUCACUUUGUAAGGACAGCUGUACUUUAAAUUUUUAGAAGCUCCAAUGUAUUGAGUCUACAUUUUGACUUUGCAGUGCAAAAGAAAGUAUGCUAUUAUUUUGUACUUGUUGUAUACCAGCCACUGUGUCCAGCACUUAGCAUACAUUUUUCCACUGAAUUCUCAGGGCAGGUACUAUGAUUAUAGAUGAGGAAACAGUGGCUCAGAGAGGUAACAUGAUUUGCCUAAGCCCACUCAGAGGUGUGGUCAGGACACAAACUCAGGCCUCUGGAGUCCCGGCCCAGUGAUUAUUCAUUUCUUCAUUCAGUCACUCAUUUAUCCAACAAUAGUUAUUAGUAUCUCCCAGUGCUGGGCACUGAGGAUUCAGUGGUGAACAAGAUGGUCUCACUUCUGUACUUAUGAAACCUUUAGGACUGUUUUUUCAAGAGCACAUUAUGCUUGCAAAAUAACCAUCACCUCUUAUCUCCCAGGCACUAUAAAGUUUACAAAAUGCAUUCACAUCCAUUACCUCAUUUUGAAUAAACUUACUGUACUCCCCAAUGCUUAAAUAAAU
This 1288-nucleotide long non-coding RNA is filed under the name Homo sapiens (human). RNAcentral describes it as "HSALNT0276233". Lineage: Eukaryota; Metazoa; Chordata; Mammalia; Primates; Hominidae. The record is from RNAcentral.